GAUGAACGCUGGCGGCGUGCCUCAAACAUGCAAGUCGAGCGGGGCUAUGUAAUAUCGCAAGGUAGAACAUAGCCUAGCGGCGAACGGGUGAGUAACACGUGGGUAACCUGCCUGGAAGACAGGGAUAACGAUUCGAAAGGGUCGCUAAUACCUGAUAAUAUCCUUUCAUCGCAUGGUGAUAGGAAGAAAGGGGAAACCCGCUUUCAGAUGGGCCCGCGUCCCAUCAGCUAGUUGGUAAGGUAAAGGCUUACCAAGGCGACGACGGGUAGCCGGUCUGAGAGGAUGUACGGCCACACUGGGACUGAGAUACGGCCCAGACUCCUACGGGAGGCAGCAGUUGGGAAUCUUAGGCAAUGGACGAAAGUCUGACCUAGCGACGCCGCGUGAGGGAAGAAGGCCUUCGGUUGUAAACCUCUGUCAUGGGGAAGAAGUAAGUGACGGUACCCAACGAGGAAGCCCCUGCUAACUACGUG
Molecule: ribosomal RNA, 473 nt
Filed under: uncultured bacterium
Lineage: Bacteria
Description: bacterial SSU rRNA
Rfam family: Bacterial small subunit ribosomal RNA
Source: RNAcentral